GGACUACUAGGGUUUCUAAUCCUGUUUGAUCCCCACGCUUUCGCACCUCAGCGUCAAUAUCGAGCCAGUAAGCCGCCUUCGCCACUGGUGUUCCUGGUAAUAUCUACGAAUUUCACCUCUACACUACCAAUUCCACUUACCUCUCUCGAAUUCAAGACUCCCAGUAUCAAAGGCAGUUCUGAGGUUGAGCCUCAGGAUUUCACCCCUGACUUAAAAGUCCGCCUACGUGCGCUUUACGCCCAGUGAUUCCGAACAACGCUAGCCCCCUUCGUAUUACCGCGGCUGCUGGCAC
RNAcentral lists this ribosomal RNA (292 nucleotides) under uncultured Alphaproteobacteria bacterium. RNAcentral's name for it is "partial 16S ribosomal RNA". The record is from RNAcentral. Lineage: Bacteria; Pseudomonadati; Pseudomonadota; Alphaproteobacteria.